Oreochromis niloticus (Nile tilapia) is the source of this 521-nucleotide long non-coding RNA. RefSeq lists it as uncharacterized. The transcript has 3 exons. NCBI's taxonomy places the organism in Eukaryota, Metazoa, Chordata, Actinopteri, Cichliformes, Cichlidae. The record is from RefSeq and is a predicted model, not a curated record.
CUGGAGACAAACCGAACCGUGGGAGGCUUGUUUGGGUACUCCUCAGAAAACUCUAUCAGAAGCUUAAAUGUUCCUGCGAAGAUAGAAGGAGAGGGUAUGAGGCAUAACAAAUGACAGACAGAGGGAGCGGGGUCUAGUUGUUACCACAUGAUCAAAAUAUGAUGACCGAUUAAAGUACCACUUUGUUUUCAAUUUAAGUCAUUUUAAAUGCAUUUCAGACACUUAAACUACUUCAGAACCUCAAUUUGUAAUAAUUUCUAACUUACAAUUUAAAAAAAGAAGCUAUCUACUCAGAGGUGUGGCAAUCCUCACGAUAAUUGUGGGAUUUUGUGCGCAGGUAGACUGAUUAUUUGAGCAUGCAACCCAUAAUCAUUUCACUACACACACGCUGCCCGAAAAGUAAUAAUACAUUGACUGAGUUCUCCAACUCUACAACAACAUCACGAGUUCAAGGUAAAGUUAAACCACAUCUAGAACUCAGAUAAACAUGAGGCUGCACUUUAGAUGACUCAAAAUGUAGA